This 400-nucleotide ribosomal RNA is filed under the name Cryothecomonas aestivalis. RNAcentral's name for it is "partial small subunit ribosomal RNA". It matches the Rfam family "Eukaryotic small subunit ribosomal RNA", at positions 30 to 432 of the family's 1831-position model. The record is from RNAcentral. Lineage: Eukaryota; Cercozoa; Thecofilosea; Cryomonadida; Protaspidae.
GCUUGUCUCAAAGAUUAAGCCAUGCAUGUCUAAGUAUAGUACCUUAUACUGCGAAACUGCGAAUGGCUCAUUAAAUCAGUUAUAAUUCAUUUGAUGGUACUUACUACUCGGAUAACCGUAGUAAUUCUAGAGCUAAUACGUGCGUAAAUCCCGACUUCUGGAAGGGACGUAUUUAUUAGAUAAAAGGCCAGCCGGGUUCUGCCCGGUUUUGUGUUGAAUCAUAGUAACUUUUCGAAUCGCAUGGCUUCACGCCGGCGAUAGUUCAUUCAAAUUUCUGCCCUAUCAGCUUUCGACGGUAGUGUAGUGGACUACCGUGGCGUUAACGGGUAACGGAGAAUUAGGGUUCGAUUCCGGAGAGGGAGCCUGAGAAACGGCUACCACAUCUAAGGAAGGCAGCAGG